RNAcentral lists this long non-coding RNA (270 nucleotides) under Capsicum annuum. RNAcentral's name for it is "long non-coding RNA (CANN_LNC001957)". The record is from RNAcentral. Lineage: Eukaryota; Viridiplantae; Streptophyta; Magnoliopsida; Solanales; Solanaceae.
CUGGAUGCAUAUGACCUGCUACCUUGCUCCUGCCUACCUCUAGGCAUGGAAGCACUAGUAGAUGACGGUGCUGGCAUAGACGAACGAUCCUGAUACUAAGGGCGACUCUCUCCUUGUAAUAUAGUCUGACCCUGUCUGUGCUGCUCGGAUCUAGCUCUCUUAUUCCCUCUCAUUCUAUCUCUCUCCUUAAUCUUGUCUGCCUCAAUCUGUUGGGCAUGAGUCAUCAGCGUAGAAAGAUUCAUCUCACUAUUCAGCAUAGCAGACCUACAC